AAGAAACCCAGGAAACCCUACAGUGAGACCCUGAAGAAGCCGGUGGGGAAGACGAAAGAGGAGCUGGCCCUGGAGAAGAAACGGGAGCUGGAGAAGCGACUGCAGGACGUCAGCGGGCAGCUCAACUCGGCCAAAAAACCCCCAAAAAAGGCCAACGAGAAGCCGGAGUCGGCGGCGGCGGCCGCGUCGCGUUUGAGCGCCUCCAGCUCCAGCUCGGACUCGAGCAGCUCUUCCUCCUCCUCCUCCUCCUCGGACACCAGCGACUCGGAUUCCGCCUGAAUUCCCACCCAAAAUCCUUGGAAAAAAACACAAAAAAAAUCCUGGCAAAAAAACUGAAGAAUUCCCGGGAAAAAACGUAAAAAAAACGGGGGAAAAAUGUAAAAAUUUGGGGGAAAAAUGUAAAAAUUUGGGGGAAAAAUGGGGUUUUUUUGGGGUGAAAAUGGGAUUUUUUUUUGAGGGGAAAAAUGGGAUUUAUUUGGGAGGUGGAGUUCCUGGAAAAAUGCCCAGAAAAAAAAUUCCUGGAAAAAAAUGAAAAAUUCCUGGAGAAAAUGGAAAAAUUUGAGGGAAAUAUGUAAAAAUUUGGGGGGAAAAUGGGAUUUUUUUUGAGAAAAAUGGGAAUUUUUGGGAGGGAAUGGAGAAUUGGAGGUGGAAUUCCUGGAAAAAUUCCCAGAAAAAAAUUCCUGGAAAAAAAGUGAAAAAUUCCUGGAGAAAAUAUAAAAAAUUGGGAAAAAAAUGUAAAAAAAUUGGGAAAAAAAGUAAAAAAAUUGAGAAAAAUGGGAUUUUUUGGGAGGGAAUGGAGAAUUGGAGGUGGAAUUCCUGGAAAAAUGCCCAGAAAGAAAAUUCCUGGAAAAAAAUGAAAAAUUCCUGGAGAAAAUGGAAAAAUUUGAGGGAAAUAUGUAAAAAUUUGGGGGGGAAAUGGGAUUUUUUUUGAGAAAAAUGGGAAUUUUUGGGAGGGAAUGGAGAAUUGGCGGUGGAAUUCCUGGAAAAAUUCCCAGAAAAAAAAAUCCUGGAAGAAAAUGAAAAAUUGCUGGAGAAAAUGAGAAAAUCUGGGAAAAAAUGGGAUUUUUUUUGAGGAAAAAUGGAAUUUUGGGGGAAAAAUGGGAGGGGUUGAAGUGGAAUUCCUGGAAAAAUUCCCAGAAAAAAAAUUCCUGGAGAAAAAAUAAAAAUUCCUGGAGAAAAUAUUAAAAAUUGGGAAAGAAAUGUAAAAAAAUUGGGGAAAAAAUGUAAAAAGAAAUUGGGAAAAAUGGGAUUUUUUUGGGAGGGAAUGGAGAAUUGGAGGUGGAAUUCCUGGAAAAAUUCCUGGAAAAAAAUUCCUGGAAAAAAAGUGAAAAAUUCCUGGAGAAAAUACAAAAAAUUGGGAAAGAAAUGUUAAAAAAUUGGGGAAAAAAUGUAAAAAGAAAUUGGGAAAAAUGGGAUUUUUUUGGGAGGGAAUGGAGAAUUGGAGGUGGAAUUCCUGGAAAAAUUCCCAGAAAAAAAAAUUCCUGGAGAAAAAUGAAAAAUUCCUGCAGAAAAUGGAAAAAUCUGGGAAAAAAUGGGAUUUUUAAUGGGUAAAAAUGGGAUUUUUUUGGGAGGGAAUGGAGAAUUGGAGGUGGAAUUCCUGGAAAAAAAAAAUGAAAAAUUUCUGGAGAAAAUGUAAAAUAAUUGGGAAAAAAAAAAGGUAAAAAUUUGGGGGAAAAUUGGGGAAAAAUGUAAAAAUUUGGGGAAAAAAAUGGGAUUUUUUGGGGUAAAAAGGGAGGGAUUGAGGUGGAAUUCCUGGAAAAAAAUUAUUGGGAAAAAUUCAUUUUGCAAAUCAGUUUUAAAGUAAAAAAAACAGGAAAAGAGGCAAAAAAAAUUCCAUAAUUGGGGAUUUUUAAGGGGGAAAAUCAUAAAAAAAGUUCUGUAAAAUUUGCUAAAAAAUCCUAAAAAAUGCCUUUAAAAAUCCUAAAAAUUUCCUGAAAAAAUCCUUUUAAAAACUCUAAAAAUUAUUUUUAAAAGGUUAAAAAAUUCCUUAAAAAUUCCUUUAUAAACCUGCUAAAAUUCCUUGGUAAAAAAAAUCCUUAAAAAAUUUUCAUUUUUUCCCCUAAACAUAGAAAAUUUUCUUUCCUUUUAUUUCCCCUAAAAAUUGAUUUUUUUUUUGCUAAAAAUUUGAAUUUUUUUUCUUUUUUUUCUCACUAAAAAUUAAAAUUUUGUUCCCUUUUAUUUCCCCUAAAAAUUGAAUUUACUUUUACCCUAAAAUUCGAAUUUUUUGCCCCAAAAUUUUUCGCCCUUUUUCCAUUAAAAUUUGAAUUUUUCCUUUUUUUUUUUUUUCAGGAAAAUAUCCAAAUUCUUUUCAAUUCUGGGAAAGUUUAAUUUCAUUUCUGGGAAAAUUCCACCAAAAUCUCCAGGAAUAAAAACUAAAAUUAAUUCCAAAAAUAAAUUAAAUUUAAAAGGGGUUUGGGGGGAAUUUUUUUAUGUUAAAGUUUUUUAUUUUAUUCCUUUUUUUUUCUUUUUUUUUCGGGGGUUUUAUUUUGCUUUUUUGGGGGUUUUUCCCAAUUUUUUCCCAUUUUUCCUUCUCCUCUUUCCCAUUCCCUCGUUGCCCUUUUAGGAUUUCGUGGUUUUGGGAUUUUUUUUUUUUUUUUCCUAGAAAAAAGAAGAAAAAAAAAAUUACAAAAAAAAAAGUGGAAAAAAAAAGAGAAAAAAAAAUCCUUUGGAAUUCUUGGAUGGUGUAAAUAAAGAAAAUAUUAUUCCA
This is a long non-coding RNA of Zonotrichia leucophrys gambelii, 2707 nucleotides long. RefSeq lists it as uncharacterized. The record is from RefSeq and is a predicted model, not a curated record. The transcript has 4 exons. NCBI's taxonomy places the organism in Eukaryota, Metazoa, Chordata, Aves, Passeriformes, Passerellidae.